RNAcentral lists this ribosomal RNA (447 nucleotides) under uncultured bacterium. Its description in RNAcentral is "partial 16S ribosomal RNA". It matches the Rfam family "Bacterial small subunit ribosomal RNA", at positions 29 to 523 of the family's 1533-position model. The record is from RNAcentral.
AACGAACGCUGGCGGCAGGCUUAACACAUGCAAGUCGAACGCCCCGCAAGGGGAGUGGCAGACGGGUGAGUAACGCGUGGGAAUCUACCGUACCCUACGGAACAACAGUUGGAAACGACUGUUAAUACCGUAUACGCCCUACGGGGGAAAGAUUUAUCGGGGUAUGAUGAGCCCGCGUUGGAUUAGCUAGUUGGUGGGGUAAAGGCCUACCAAGGCGACGAUCCAUAGCAGGUCUGAGAGGAUGAUCAGCCACAUUGGGACUGAGACACGGCCCAAACUCCUACGGGAGGCAGCAGUGGGGAAUAUUGGACGAUGGGCGCAAGCCUGAUCCAGCCAUGCCGCGUGAGUGAUGAAGGUCUUAGGAUUGUAAAGCUCUUUCACCGGAGAAGAUAAUGACGGUAUCCGGAGAAGAAGCCCCGGCUAACUUCGUGCCAGCCGCCGCAGUAA